Molecule: ribosomal RNA, 286 nt
Filed under: uncultured microorganism
Description: partial 16S ribosomal RNA
Rfam family: Archaeal small subunit ribosomal RNA
Source: RNAcentral
GCGCACCAGGCGAGAAAACUUCGCAAUGCGCGAAAGCGCGACGAGGGGAUUCCAAGUGCAUGCACUAAGUGUAUGCUUUCGUGAGUUUAAAACGCUCACGGAAUAAGGCUGGGUAAGACUGGUGCCAGCCGCCGCCGGUAAUACCAGCGGCCCUAGUGGUGAUCGUUAUUAUUGGGGCCUAAAGCGUCCGUAGCCGGUCCGGUAAAUCUCUAGGGGUAAAUCGUUGGGCUUAACUCAGCGAAUUCUGGGGAGACUGCUGGACUUGGGACCGGGAGAGGUCGGAGGU